Molecule: ribosomal RNA, 508 nt
Filed under: uncultured bacterium
Lineage: Bacteria
Description: bacterial SSU rRNA
Rfam family: Bacterial small subunit ribosomal RNA
Source: RNAcentral
GAUGAACGCUAGCUACAGGCUUAACACAUGCAAGUCGAGGGGAAACGAUAUUGGAAGCUUGCUUCCGAUAGGCGUCGACCGGCGCACGGGUGAGUAACGCGUAUCCAACCUGCCCAUCACUUGGGGAUAACCUUGCGAAAGUAAGACUAAUACCCAAUGACGUCUCUAGAAGACAUCUGAAAGAGAUUAAAGAUUUAUCGGUGAUGGAUGGGGAUGCGUCUGAUUAGCUUGUUGGCGGGGUAACGGCCCACCAAGGCGACGAUCAGUAGGGGUUCUGAGAGGAAGGUCCCCCCANAUUGGAACUGAGACACGGUCCAAAACUCCUACGGGGAGGCAGCAGUGAGGAAUAUUGGUCAAUGGACGAGAGUCUGAACCAGCCAAGUAGCGUGAAGGAUGACUGCCCUAUGGGUUGUAAACUUCUUUUAUACGGGAAUAAAGUGAGGCACGUGUGCCUUUUUGUAUGUACCGUAUGAAUAAGGAUCGGCUAACUCCGUGCCAGCAGCCGCGG